Molecule: long non-coding RNA, 3531 nt
Filed under: Mus musculus (house mouse)
Lineage: Eukaryota; Metazoa; Chordata; Mammalia; Rodentia; Muridae
Description: long non-coding RNA chr5:19257702-19261233
Source: RNAcentral
AUUUUAGGGUUUCAUGAAAUAAUGCAGUAUUUGGUGUUAUAACAGCAGACAAUUUUUAAAAUUGUCCUCUAACUAAAUAAAAAGAUGCACCUGAUAAAUGUCCAUGCAUAUAUGUUGUAUGCGUAUAUGUCGUGUGCGUAUAUGUCGUGUGAGCAGUGGAGCCCUGUACCCAAAUCCUGUAACAUGUUGAAACUUUCUAUCUACCACAAGUGAGAAAUUGAUAUUUUACUAAGAAAUAAAACAUUUUCUUUGGAGAAAAGUGUGAUUCUGUGUGCCUAUUUGCAUAUUCCCCACCCCUCUCAAUAGAGUAUCAUUUCAUUUUAGGUAUUUAUUUUUUGUCAUAGGUGUAAUUUCUAUCUUUUUAUCUUUCCUGUAAACUACCUAAUUGUAAAGAUCCUAAUUGGUCCCCUUUUCAUUUUUAUCUUGACUUCAUAAGCCAUCUGUUGCUCUAGUUAUCUUCCCCAGUGUAAGGUUUAAAACAGAACUUCCCAAUUCAAAAUGCCCACUGCUACCCUGUUCCUCAAGAGGACAUAUCCAUAAUAGUCACCAGGCACUGACUCAUUUUACUUGGUCCUCAAGCUUGCCUUUCAGAAUUUUUCUGUGGGACACUAAAAAAGCUCAUUUGUUAAUAUGUUUGUUUUUUUUUUCUUAAACUUUCAGUUGAACUUUCUUUUCCCUAAUGCAACCCUUGGAUGGUAAAGAUGUAUCCAUGUCAGCAAAUGGUUCUUCAGUAUCAAGUUUACUGAUGUACUGUAGCCCUUGCUCAACAUUCAUGGCUCCUUAAAUACUCAUUGUGUCAUUCUCAUGCCAAGAAGCUGAUUAACAUAUUCGAUGUGGACAAAGGACCCCCCAGGACUCCGUAGGGCUCAGUAGAUGUUUGUGGUUGGUGAACCUAAGGCACUUAGUGUUUGAUAUUUGAUGUGAUCAACUUGGCGUCUGUGCAAAUCUCUGCAUGAUUUUAUUCUUAAAGUGUUCUUCUUUAACUUUGCUCACUUCGCCUGACCUGCAGGUAAUGUAGUCCCAGUGGUUUUUUUUUUUUUUUCAGAUUAACACAUCUUUCAGUAAUUGAGCACUUAUGAUAUAAUGAGAUAAUAAGUCCUCAACCCAGUUUCAACUUUGCAAUUUUCCAUCAGUUGAGCUUGAGGUAACACCGGUUACUCUGUUUUAUUUUUAACUCAAGAUUUCAAGGCUGUCAGACUUUUAGUAUUCUUAAUGACCUUCAGGUUACUACUAAGGUUGGCCUGCUACCUCCUCUCCUUAACACUCAGUGUGCCAAACCAGGGAUCCCAUGCUCCCAGACCACAGGACCAUUACCUAAAGGCUCCUUCAGCUGCCCUUGAUGAGUAAAGUGUGAAUUCUUGGCUCCAUUGGUUUGUCCCACUUUCUCCUACUUUACAUAUGAUUUUCUCGUGUUUAUCUUCCUCUCAACUGUACACUAAAAUUUAGCUUAUGCCCAUCUAUGAUAUGGAGACAUUUCCACAUUUCAUCCUAUAGCAAGAAACAGAAAGGUACUGUCACUUGUGUUUACAUUGGAAGUUAGCAUUAAGCAUUUGCCCACAAAGUCUCAUUUCUCAUUUUCCCAAGGCUAUUCAUAGUAAAUAAGAAAAGACUACUGCUAACAUUAAGAUGCUAACAAUUCUGUUAAUUUUAAGUUAUAAUAUACUAAUGAUUUUAUUUAUAAGAUCUACUACUAUUAAAACAGGUUACACUCACAACAGUGACUUUACAUUAAAAGCUUCUUGUAGAAACUAAACAACACAUUGGGUUUACUAUCUAAACAUCUAUUCAGUAGUAUAAUUAGUAUAACCCAAGCACCAUGAUACACAGAAAUAAAUAGAAGACAAAAACAGAUAAAGUCAUCUAUCUACAUGUUAGUUAUGAUUUCAGUAAUAAUGUCAAAAAGAUUUAUUGCAGUGAGACUAUGACAUUUACUUCAUAUCUCCCAAAAAACCCAGCACAGUUCAUGGUUCUCUAAAGAGUGUCCUUGAUAUACUUGUUCUCUAUUAAUUGUAUUGAUAUUAUGCAUAUGAUGUGCUGGACUUCAGUAUAUGUCUUAUCCAGCUACUCUUGAGACUAUGAAUAGUAACCAAAACAUCUUCACUGCUCACUGGCCUUCCAGUGAGCUGAAACAGCAUCGUGGGGUUCUUACAGAUACACAUUGGUGUGAAUAUCUUAAUGUGAUACAAAAAUACAAAGCAAACAGAAAUGUAUAAUGUAUAUAAUUACAGCACUAAUGGUGGUAUGCUCUCUACUUUUAUGGAUUAAAUAUGUCUGGUGUUUGAAUUUCUUAAGAAAAUGUGGGUAGUAGACAACAUUGGCCAUGAUGCAUAUGUGUAAAGUACAUUAGUUUCACUGAAGACACUUGUCUGGCUCCUUAGUGUAGUCUCAAACUAUAAAUAGGGAUAUUGUAAUGCUUGCAAGCCAAGGGAAACUAUAUGUCUCACAGUUCAAUCCCAGACACUCCUUGCAGUGUUUUUGUUUCACAUUGAUCACCGAAGAGAUGAAGAAUACACAGGUGAUUAAAGGCAAAUUUGAAACAAAAUACUUUUAAGAAUGAGGUAAAUGGCAGCCCUAUUGGGAAAUGAUCACAAUUUCAAAUACUUUCAAGGAGAGAUAACAAAUUUAAAUGUCUUUGGCUGUUUCAUAAGCAGUACCUAUUCAGGACUAUAGCAUGUUAAAUUUAAUUUCUUAGAAAGCUUGAAGACACAGGUAUGUAUAUGUGACUGUGCAAUCUUUCCACAUUAAUUUUUUAUGAAAAUAGUUGUUUAAAGGUCAACUCAUGCAUAUUUCUCUCCACUUCUAGGACAAUAGAACCAGAGCUUCAUUUGUACAAACUCACAGUGGAAAAGAUUCAGGUUAUCUAAAAUUAGGUUAGACAGUCCUCAGCAAGAAAAUCAAAGCUGUCUUAUAUUUAGUUCUAGUGGGACAUCCCACUGUGCAAUGAUCUAACCAUCGUGUGCCCUCCUGAGCCAGGAUGGAACAAGAUGAAUUUCAUGAAGCACAUCUUUGGGAACAUGCAGGUAGCUAUUUUAUUCAAAGAAGAAAGUAACCAAUUUUUCUUGCUACCAGAAAGUAUGGGGAUUAUUUCUAAUUUUUAGUUAAAUUUACUAGUCACCAACUUUUCAGCAUAGUCAACACCUAGUAGAAAGUUUAAUUUUUGCUACACCUAUAUUAAACAAAUAUUUAUUAAAUGAGAGAACAGUUAUCUAAUAGUGAAUAUUGUAUCUAUCGUUGAUAUUGAGACAUUGGCUUAUCAUAUGUAAUCACAUAGCACUACCGUCUUUCAUUUUUAUGCCCACUUAGGCUAUCCCAGCAAAAGAAAAGCACACACUCUCUACAUUCUCUCUUCUUUCUCUUCCUUUCCUUUUCUUAAAUUUUCUCUUAGUUUUUUUUAAUAGUAUAACGUUUUCUUCCAUUUUGAAAGACUUGGUAAGCAAAUUUGCUUAGUCAUCAUGUCCAAACACAUCCAAAUUCACUUUCUCCCAGGAAUGAUCAUCUACUGAAAACAAAAAAGGGGAAGAAGUGUUUAGU